Pantherophis guttatus is the source of this 2382-nucleotide long non-coding RNA. RefSeq lists it as uncharacterized. The record is from RefSeq and is a predicted model, not a curated record. Lineage: Eukaryota; Metazoa; Chordata; Lepidosauria; Squamata; Colubridae.
GGCGGCAGACGGGGAGAGAAAGGGGGGGCGAGGUGGAAACCCCCCCUCCGUGCACCAAAUCCCGGGACAACCGAGCAGACGGGGAGGGGCGUCACGUGCCCCCCCCCAAGUCUCAAACCUACAGCUCGUUCCCGAAAGAUCAACAAGUCCGGUGAACCUCCCGUCUCCCCCUCGCAAUUCUGUCCCGGAGUUUUGCGGCCGGGGAAUUGGAAGUUGAACCACGGGAAGAGGAGAAGAAAAGAGCGCCAUCUCGAGUUCGGACGCGGCAUUACGGGCGAGAGCUUUUAACGCUUGUGCUCUCCUUGGAGGGGUUGCGACAAGAGGGAAGCCGGGCAAAAUGCGCCAGGUUUAAUGUGGGCACGGAUCGAGAGUGAAAGGCGGGUCGUGUUUGUUGGUUUGUUGGUUUUUAAAGCGGGGAUUAAACCAUCUUUGGAUUCUCGAUGCCUUGGAAGAAGUGGCGGGAGUAUUCUCGUUCAGAAACAGAGCUCUGGCAUUCAAAACAGUACAGGAUGAAAAAUCACAUUUAUUUUCCACCUUGUCACCUAACAGGCAGGGGCACUGGAAAGACUUCCUCUGUCGGACAUCCUGAGAAUUUAAUUUAAUUUAAUUUAAUUAAUUCAAUUUAUAUGCCGCCCCUCUCCGAAGACUCAGGGCGGCUGAGAACUUGCUAUCAAUUCGAGCAGUUGCUCUGAUGGUUCAGAGUCAGACUCUCUUGAAUUGGGCUUGGCUCUCGAUGGACGUGUAGUCAUUUUUGCAGCAGAGAAAAGCAUUGGCAGAGGAGGCCAUGGAGGCCUGCGGAUGAACAGGCUGCUUAGCAAAAUUGCAGGCGCCUGGCCUCUGCCUUUCUUUUCCUCCGAGUUGAGCCUUUUCCCCAGCGUCAACAUAGCGGAGUUGCCAAUAAAGCUGCAACUUUAAAACAGGUGUGGGAGAAGAUUGGGAAGAGAGCAGAGGAGAUGCGUGUUUUGGAACAAACAGUAGACUACGGUAGCCUAAUGAAAGAAGGCAUUUUUUUUCCCUUCAGAAGUAUUGGAUAGUCUAAAACAGAGGGAAAGAAGCUGUAGUAUCACAGCAAGACAAGACAACAACAUAAAAGGUCGAGGAGUUUUACAUGCUGGCCAUUAACAGAAAAAGAAGAUCUCAGAUAGAAGGGACUCAAGACAGAAUCAGUCUUAAGAACUGUUGAUGCGCACUAGCAGUAGUAUAGAAUAUAUAUAUAUAUAUAUAUAUGUAAUGAAAUAAUAACUAAUAAUAAUUGAGUAGUAAUAGUAUGGAGUGUAGUAUAAGCAUUGACAUAGUAAUAUUAAUUGAACAGUAAAUGGUAUACAGAUAGCAACACAAUAUAGGAAGCACUGGAAUAUCGCUUUCAUACGUUUGUUUUACAAAAUAAGAUCUCUCCCCAAUCCUUAUAGUGAGAUAUAAUGAAACCACCAGUUCAGGGUCCAUUGCUUUUCUCUUAAAUCUGGGUCAAUCUAAUUGGUAACAGUUUAAAAAAGAACCUAUGACAAGGCCAACUCCUCGUUCUAUCCAAAAUCCACUUUAAAGCAUACCAGGCAAAUGGUUGAUCACAUCCAGUGAAGACAAGCUCACCCCUUUUCCUAAUAAUUGAUUGCACUAUCAAACUAUUCUUGCUUUCCAUAAUUUAAAACCAUUAUUCAUGUACUAUGUCUUGGAAUAAGAAACAGCAGCUCUUGAUCAUCUUUUGUGUGACGUUUGUUUAUGUACUUGAAAUGUGCUUCUAUACCCUUCCCUCAUAGUAAUCUUUUCUCAAGGUUAAACUUACCCCAUUCCUUCUGUCCUCCUUACUGUUCAUUCACCUCACUUCUCUAAUCCAUCAAAAGCAUUUUUAUUUAUUUUCUUUUGGUUUUUUUUUUUACUGUAUUAGUUCUAUCACCCAAUUUUGGUCCAUAUGCAAAUUUGAUGGAGUGUUUUUUUAAAACAUCAUUUCUUUGGUUUACUACUGAAAAGUGUGAACCUAACUGUUGUGACUGGUAGACCAUAUUUUAUGACUAGGCUUGUUAACCCAGUUCUGUGGGGUUUUUUAAUAGUAUUUUUAUGGUUGUGAAACAUAGAUUUUGCAUUAUCUUUUUAAUAAAGCUGUUUAUUCAGUAUAAUAUAGAUUAAAUAUUAUUAACAUCAUUAUGUUGAGAUAACAGACAUUGAAAAUUAAAAAAGAAAAAAAUUAUCAGUAUUAUGAUUUAAAACUGCAGUGUUAGUGAGUAUAAAAUUAUUUAGCUUUUUCAUCCAGAAUUGAAUAUAAUGUUUAAAAACCAUUGCAGGUUGUAUCAAAGAAUUUGUUGUAUGAUAAAGUUUUGGUCUUAAGCUCAUUACUUAGUAUUAAAGUCUCCACUUUAAUGUAUAUUAAAGUAAUGUAUUGUUACUUAA